RNAcentral lists this ribosomal RNA (511 nucleotides) under Stylocellus sp. Borneo 17. RNAcentral's name for it is "eukaryotic LSU rRNA". It matches the Rfam family "Eukaryotic large subunit ribosomal RNA", at positions 666 to 1139 of the family's 3401-position model. The record is from RNAcentral. Lineage: Eukaryota; Metazoa; Arthropoda; Arachnida; Opiliones; Stylocellidae.
CCAAGGAGUCUAACAUGUGCGCGAGUCAUUGGGUCUUGCUCAGGCCCAAAGGCGCAAUGAAAGUGAAGGCCGGCCCGGUCGGGUGCGUUGGGAUCCCGCAUUCAUUUAUUGUGUGCGGGCGCACCAACGGCCCGUCCCGAUCGCCGCGUCGACGGGGCGGAGUGAGAGCGUACACGUUGGGACCCGAAAGAUGGUGAACUAUGCCUGGGCAGGACGAAGCCAGAGGAAACUCUGGUGGAGGUCCGCAGCGAUUCUGACGUGCAAAUCGAUCGUCAGACCUGGGUAUAGGGGCGAAAGACUAAUCGAACCAUCUAGUAGCUGGUUCCCUCCGAAGUUUCCCUCAGGAUAGCUGGCGCUCGGAGGAAGCAUUCUCAUCCGGUAAAGCGAAUGAUUAGAGGCCUUGGGGCCGAAACGACCUCAACCUAUUCUCAAACUUUAAAUGGGUGAGAAGUCCGGCUUGCUCGACUGAAGCCCGGACGCGAGGAUGCGAGUGCCCAGUGGGCCACUUUUG